GGAAGAAGUUUGAAACCAAGAAAAUGGUGAUUGGGAAGACCAGGAUGCGCAAUGGCAAAUUGAGGGUAAGCGGGGUACGUGUCCUGAAUUUGUAGAAUCUUUUGACACAAAGCAACAGAGCCACAGUCAAGACUCAAGUCAAAAGAAAUUUAGACCCCAUCUGGGCAAACAGGCCUCUAAGCAACAAUCUAAGAUUUCCACCUAUUGUUCUGGCAUUCCUUGUAUAAAUGAUUAUGACUGCAGAGAUCUUAGGAAGUGCUGUGGUACCUUUAGAUGUGGCCUGAGGUGCAUACAUCCUCUUAUGAUUGACCCUGUAUUGUUCAAUUCACCUCCACAAUCCAAGGCAUAAAUAUUGGAUGGAGAAAUGGAUUCAGAUGGAGGCAUCAUUGAGCUUAUUCUUGACUCAUCUCAGUCCAAACAUUACUCUGUCAAUCGUUGUUCUUAAAAUCUGCAUAUUAAAAGCUCAGCAUC
RNAcentral lists this long non-coding RNA (471 nucleotides) under Pan troglodytes (chimpanzee). RNAcentral describes it as "lincRNA". The record is from RNAcentral. Lineage: Eukaryota; Metazoa; Chordata; Mammalia; Primates; Hominidae.